ACCAUCUAUGUAGCUCCUCAUAAGUUUAGAGCAUGAAUCUCUGGGGAAUAAUGUGCUCCCUCUCCAAGUCCUUUCAACAUAGAUGUUCUGACCUCAGUUGCUAAGCAUAUUUUUCAAAACAAUACUUGGCUCAACUUUGGUAUGUUAUUCUUAGUUUUCUCCAAGCUUUAUAUGCCUCUUCGGCUGUAGAACUAUUCCAGAUCAAAUUUGUGCUUCAUGCUCAAGUCUUAUAAUUUAUGACAUUUGUUUAGUGCUCCUCUGUUUGAGAAUGGAAUUUUCAAGCUUAGAAACUCAAAUCACUUGCUAUUACAAUGCUAGGCAAAUAUUUUCCAGUUCUCUAUUCCUUGAUUUUAAUUUUUAAAUCUUUCAAUUGGUGUGUGGUUGCUCAUGCGAGAAAAGCAAGAUAGUGCAUAUAAGUAGAGGUGCAACAAAACUUACACCAUCACUUCAGUUAAGAUUAAGAUGUUAGAAGCCUUUUCCUGAGCUAAAGAAAAAUACUCAAAAUAAUUAGAUGCAUAAUUUCUUUCAUUUUGCCGGAUAAUCAUGCCAGCCAACUUAACACAAAACUAACAAAAUCAUCUCUGUUGAAAUAAAUCUCAAGAAAAUCAUUAUCAAGAAAUAGAGAACUGGUAACAUUUCACGUCUGGGUUUUCUUUAAUCUGAUAUCCUAAUAAACACCGUUAAUUACAUGAAUUCUUUUGAAUGUCAUUAAUUAAGUUGUUUUCACUUCUCUUACAAUUUCUUUAUGCAGGGAGCUGUGUAGCAAUACUUUUGGGUGUGCUUUAUUUUGUUGCGAAAUUAUGUAUCAGAGAGCUAAUGCUAUAGAAAUUAUUGAAGAACUUAUGCUACGUUUCUUCAUUAGCCAUCGAACUGAAGCUAAGAUUUCAAUGAUGAUCUAAGGGUGAAAAUUAUUGGAAGAACAUCGUGCUCAUCAAUUUCUAAUUAAAAUUAUCAUUUGAUUUUUUGUGGUUUAUUAAUGUCCGGC
This 985-nucleotide long non-coding RNA is filed under the name Capsicum annuum. Its description in RNAcentral is "long non-coding RNA (CANN_LNC004862)". Lineage: Eukaryota; Viridiplantae; Streptophyta; Magnoliopsida; Solanales; Solanaceae. The record is from RNAcentral.